Molecule: transfer RNA, 63 nt
Filed under: Streptocephalus sirindhornae
Lineage: Eukaryota; Metazoa; Arthropoda; Branchiopoda; Anostraca; Streptocephalidae
Description: tRNA-Lys
Source: RNAcentral
CAUAAGGUGGCUGAUAAAAGCGAAAGCCUCUUAAGCUUUAUUAUGGUAACUUACCCCUUAUGG